CGGACGGAAAUCGCGCGAAGAGUGUAAAGGCAGAAGGGAGCUUGACUGCGAGACCAACAAGUCGAGCAGGGACGAAAGUCGGGCUUAGUGAUCCGGCGGUUCCGAGUGGAAGGGCCGUCGCUCAACGGAUAAAAGCUACCCUGGGGAUAACAGGCUUAUUGCGUCCAAGAGUUCACAUCGACGACGCAGUUUGGCACCUCGAUGUCGGCUCAUCACAUCCUGGAGGGGAAGUCCCUUCCAAGGGUUGGGCUGUUCGCCCAUUAAAGUGGUACGCGAGCUGGGUUCAAAACGUCGUGAGACAGUUUGGUCCCUAUCUGUCGUGGGCGUAGGAAGUUUGAAAGGACCUGUUCUUAGUACGAGAGGACCGGAAUGGACACAGCAAUGGUUCACCAGUUGUCACGCCAGUGGCAUCGCUGGGUAGCUACCUGUGGAAUAGAUAAACGCUGAAAGCAUCUAAGCGUGAAGCUAACCUUAAGAUGAGACUUCCCAUUCGCAAGAAGUAAGACCCCUAGAAAGCGACUAGGUUGAUAGGUCGGAAAUGUAAGUACAGCGAUGUAUUCAGUUGACCGAUACUAAUAGGUCGAGGACUUAAU
This 593-nucleotide ribosomal RNA is filed under the name Bacillota bacterium. Its description in RNAcentral is "Firmicutes bacterium partial 23S ribosomal RNA". It matches the Rfam family "Bacterial large subunit ribosomal RNA", at positions 2328 to 2925 of the family's 2925-position model. The record is from RNAcentral. Lineage: Bacteria; Bacillati; Bacillota.